RNAcentral lists this ribosomal RNA (429 nucleotides) under Actinomycetes bacterium. RNAcentral describes it as "Actinobacteria bacterium partial 16S ribosomal RNA". It matches the Rfam family "Bacterial small subunit ribosomal RNA", at positions 355 to 776 of the family's 1533-position model. The record is from RNAcentral. Lineage: Bacteria; Bacillati; Actinomycetota; Actinomycetes.
UAGGGAAUCUUCCGCAAUGGGCGAAAGCCUGACGGAGCAACGCCGCGUGAGUGAUGAAGGUCUUCGGAUCGUAAAACUCUGUUAUUAGGGAAGAACAAAUGUGUAAGUAACUAUGCACGUCUUGACGGUACCUAAUCAGAAAGCCACGGCUAACUACGUGCCAGCAGCCGCGGUAAUACGUAGGCGGCAAGCGUUAUCCGGAAUUAUUGGGCGUAAAGAGCGCGUAGGCGGUUUUUUAAGUCUGAUGUGAAAGCCCACGGCUCAACCGUGGAGGGUCAUUGGAAACUGUGAAACUUGAGUGCAGAAGAGGAAAGUGGAAUUCCAUGUGUAGCGGUGAAAUGCGCAGAGAUAUGGAGGAACACCAGUGGCGAAGGCGACUUUCUGGUCUGUAACUGACGCUGAUGGGCGAAAGCGUGGGGAUCAAACAGG